UCGCACUCCAAUUUCCUGCCACUGCCUGUGCCUUAGUUUCGGGCAGCCUGGGAUUUAUGUUACUGAAUGAGGAUCUGAUGAAAAGGUUUUGGCGGCUAGGGCUUUGGACGGGCCUAGAAGGGAGUGAACGGGAGGGAAAGAAGAGAUCCUUUCGAGGAUGGAUACAGCUCAUGGGGGUAAAACUCUGAGUGGCCGCCGCCAUGAGCAACACCGGUGGAUCCGCGGCGAGGAUUGGGAUGUACGGCGAUGAGCGCCGGGGAUGGGUCGCCGGAGCUGAGCUAGGGUUUAACAAGGGAGAGGAGGGGGGAGCUGGGGUCGAUGGAUGGGAACGGACGUGGAUCGGUCG
RNAcentral lists this unclassified non-coding RNA (346 nucleotides) under Hevea brasiliensis (rubber tree). Lineage: Eukaryota; Viridiplantae; Streptophyta; Magnoliopsida; Malpighiales; Euphorbiaceae. The record is from RNAcentral.